GAAAGACAAAGUCAAGGAGAAGAAUUUAUUCUAGAGCUAUAUUGUACGAGACACAAAUAAUGUUUGGAAAUUAUGGAAACUAUUAUAGUGAGAAGGGAGGUAGAAUGCAGGUUAAGAUUUUUUCAGUGGUCCACAUUGUUAGCGGCUUCUUUGGGGAGUUAUCUAUAUAUAUAGAAAUGAAUUGCUGUUCGUUAGUCUCGCUAAAACUCGAGAACGGCUGGACGGAUUUGACUAAUUUUGGUCUUAAAUUAUUUGUGGAAGCCCAGAGAAGGUUUAAAAGGUUAUCUUCUUGCAAGUUAUAUUCCCGGUCGAUUCAGCGUCUGAACGAAGAAAACGACAGACGUGGAGAGGUUUUCUUGACACCAUGAAGGAGUUUGGCAGUAAAGUAAUGUCGACUGCUCAGAGUGCUGGAACGAGCAUGAAGUCCGUCUUCAGCAAGGCUGGAAGGUGGCUCCAGAGUAAUUUAGGAUUUGAUUAAGUUAAAUGGAACUAAAAAAGGCAAUUAGUGAUUUUGUGUAAACUCUUUUAAAAAAAAAUUGUUAUUGAACUAAUCGAUAAUUAAUAGAGAAGGAAAGGAAUGUGUCAUUUAUAAUACUUAUUUUAGCUUUUGUAUUUUAUAAAGUACUUCUUAUAGGUAUUGCAAUGGCCAGUAAGACGUUAGUCUAGUGUUUUUAUUAUUUUAGAUUUGUGUUCCAUUGCUGCCAGGGUUAUUAGGAUGAGACCGAUGAGGUUGAGGUUAACAGUAUAAAAAUUUGGUAAUUAUUUACAUCCACGUAAUUUCCAUGUUAAGAGAAUUACAAUAAAAAACGAUUUUAUAUUUUUUUGUAAAAUCGUUUGAUUUAUCAUUUUAAAUAGUUUUAUAUUAAUAAAAUACUAUCGCCCUUUAAAUAUUAUUAUUUAUUGAAUCAGUUAUUUUCGUUGUUACAACGCUGAAACUAUGGCUACAUUAAACCAGUAUAUAUGGGUACAUAAAUCAGUUCCCAUAAUCAUUUUGUUAUUGUUGAAUUGAAGUACAGUUGUCACCUCCGCCGGUGAACGCCCAUUACCCAAUUCACGCGGUGACCAAAAAUAGCGCCGAUAUAUUCUUGAUUGAUUUGACUUAGUGUGUGCGUUUGCGUUUUUGUAGCUUUAUAUUUAACAUUAAAGACACUAUAUAUGAUGAUCAUUAGUAAUUUGAUCAUUAGUAUUACUAAUUUAAUUGGAAUUUCUUGAAAGAAAAAUUUGUAGCUUUGUAAAAUUGUGUCAUAUUUUUUUAUAGCCAAUUAUUGACGUUUCGAUUUAAAGAGAAUUUUAAUUGUUUUUAAAUAAAAUUUCAGUUAUUGAUUUAAAAA
Long non-coding RNA from Bombyx mori (domestic silkworm), 1331 nucleotides. RefSeq lists it as uncharacterized. The record is from RefSeq and is a predicted model, not a curated record. The transcript has 2 exons. Lineage: Eukaryota; Metazoa; Arthropoda; Insecta; Lepidoptera; Bombycidae.